GUUUAGGGGCAACUCUCCUCACAACGACCCUGUGAGGUGGGCUGUAUUGAGGGGGGGGUGCCCUCCUGGCGCCUCACAAGCAGCCGGGCGAGGUAGGCAGGGCCGGGUUUAGGUUUGAUGAGGCCGUGACCAGGGAGAAGAGUCGGUGGAAGAAGAUUGGAAGAAAUUCAAAGAUUAUUUACAGAAAUAUUGCAAAAUUAAUGAAUGUUAGAGUGAUGUUGGAUUGAAAUUAAAUGGUUUCUAGCUAUACAGGCUUUAAAAUUAUAUAUAGAUUAAGAUUAAGGAUUAGGAAUAAAAAGGUUAAAAGAAUGGAAAAUUGGCUAUUAAGAGAUAAAAAUUUAAUGUUAUAUUAUAUUAAGAUUCAGGAUUGGGAUUAAAAAAGAGGGAAAGGAAUUGCUGGACAAAUAAACUAAAUUGGAAUACAAAAGAGGGAGGUAUGAGGAGGUCCAGAAAAUAAGUAAAUUCAAAAGUAGUGAUGAAAAGAUGGAAUUGUUUUUAACUGUGUUUUCUCUUUUUUUAUAUUUUUGUAUUUUGUAUUGUGUAUUUUUCCUUUUACUGUUAAAUUCUCUUUUAUUGAUAUGUUUCUUUUAUCUGAAACUUUAAUAAAUAUCAUUUUUAAAAAAAAUAGGUUUGAUGAGGCCCUAGGCUACUCAAGGUAAUGGGGCCCUUCAUUAUGUCCAGCUGUCCUUUGUCAACAACAAAUUGUCGCUGUUUUUUGUGUGUUGAAUAUAUGCUAUGUGGUAAUUUAUGGACCUAAUAGGUAUCUAAAGCCAUUUGCACAUAACAAAAUAUGUAUUUUAUCAACGUAAUUGUUGAACUGAAAUACAAUUAAGAAGUAUAUUAAUAGUGAAAUAUACGAUAUCUUUAUUGUCAUUGUCCCAUAC
This is a non-coding RNA of Podarcis lilfordi (Lilford's wall lizard), 884 nucleotides long. Lineage: Eukaryota; Metazoa; Chordata; Lepidosauria; Squamata; Lacertidae. The record is from the annotation of a GenBank genome assembly.